CCUACGGGAGGCAGCAGUGGGGAAUAUUGCACAAUGGGGGGAACCCUGAUGCAGCAAUGCCGCGUGGGUGAAGAAGCACUCCGGUGCGUAAAGCCCUGUCAGCAGGGAAGAAAAUGACAGUACCUGACCAAUAUGCCCCGGCUAACUCAGAUCCAGCCGCCACGGUAAUACGUAGGGGGCAAGCGUUAUCCGGAUUUACUGGGUGUAAAGGGAGCUCAGGUGGUAUGGCAAGUCAGUUGUGAAGACCCCGGGCCCAACCCUGAGACUGCAUUUGAAACUGCCAUACUGGAGUGCCGUAGAGGUAAGUGGAAUUCCUAGUGUAGCGGUGAAAUGCGUAGAUAUUAGGAGGAACACCAGUGGCGAAGGCGGCUUACUGGACGGUAACUGACGCUGAGGCUCGAAAGCGUGGGGAGCAAACAGGAUUAGAUACCCGAGUAGUC
This 440-nucleotide ribosomal RNA is filed under the name uncultured bacterium. RNAcentral's name for it is "partial 16S ribosomal RNA". It matches the Rfam family "Bacterial small subunit ribosomal RNA", at positions 338 to 795 of the family's 1533-position model. The record is from RNAcentral.